CCCUUAGAUGUUCUGGGCUGCACGCGCGCUACACUGAUGCGCUCAACGAGUUUACGACCUUGCCCGGAAGGGUUGGGUAAUCUUUUUAAAACGCAUCGUGAUAGGGAUAGACUAUUGCAAUUAUUGGUCUUCAACGAGGAAUUCCUAGUAGACGUAGUUCAUCAGACUGCAUCGAUUACGUCCCUGCCCUUUGUACACACCGCCCGUCGCUCCUACCGAUUGAAUGCUCAGGUGAGCCAUUCGGACUUUCAUCAUGCUGGUUUCCAGUUUUGAUGAAGGAAAGUCUUGCGAACCUUAUCAUUUAGAGGAAGGAGAAGUCGUAACA
Molecule: ribosomal RNA, 325 nt
Filed under: uncultured eukaryote
Lineage: Eukaryota
Description: partial 18S ribosomal RNA
Rfam family: Eukaryotic small subunit ribosomal RNA
Source: RNAcentral